RNAcentral lists this ribosomal RNA (203 nucleotides) under uncultured bacterium. RNAcentral's name for it is "partial 16S ribosomal RNA". It matches the Rfam family "Bacterial small subunit ribosomal RNA", at positions 524 to 721 of the family's 1533-position model. The record is from RNAcentral.
UACGUAGGGUGCAAGCGUUGUCCGGAAUUAUUGGGCGUAAAGAGCUCGUAGGCGGCUUGUCGCGUCGACGUGUGAAAACCCGCGGCUCAACUGUGGGCUUGCAGUCGAUACGGGCAGGCUGGAGUUCGGUAGGGGAGAACGGAAUUCCAGGUGGUAGCGGUGAAAUGCGUAGACGAUACUGGAGGAACACCGAUGGCGAAAGG